CCUACGGGUGGCAGCAGUGGGGAAUAUUGCACAAUGGGGGAAACCCUGAUGCAGCGACGCCGCGUGAGUGAAGAAGUAAUUCGUUACGUAAAGCUCUAUCAGCAGGGAAGAAACACUGACCUUACGGUCAGCAGACGGUACCUGAGUAAGAAGCCCCGGCUAACUACGUGCCAGCAGCCGCGGUAAUACGGGGGGGCCACGCGUUUUCCGGAUUUAUUGGGGGUAAAGGGGGCUUAGGCGGGUCCCGAAGUCUGGAGUGAAAUGUCGCAGCUUAACUGCGGAACUGUUUUGGAAACUGGCGAACUAGAGUGCGGGAGGGGUAAGCGGAAUUCCUAGUGUAGCGGUGAAAUGCGUAGAUAUUAGGAGGAACACCGGUGGCGAAGGCGGCUUACUGGACCGUAACUGACGUUGAGGCUCGAAAGCGUGGGGAGCAAACAGGAUUAGAUACCCCUGUAGUC
This 458-nucleotide ribosomal RNA is filed under the name uncultured bacterium. RNAcentral describes it as "partial 16S ribosomal RNA". It matches the Rfam family "Bacterial small subunit ribosomal RNA", at positions 338 to 795 of the family's 1533-position model. The record is from RNAcentral.